RNAcentral lists this ribosomal RNA (301 nucleotides) under uncultured bacterium. RNAcentral's name for it is "partial 16S ribosomal RNA". It matches the Rfam family "Bacterial small subunit ribosomal RNA", at positions 509 to 807 of the family's 1533-position model. The record is from RNAcentral.
CAGUCGCCGCGGGAACACGAAGGGUGCAAGCGUUAAUCGGAAUUACUGGGCGUAAAGCGUGCGUAGGCGGUUUGUUAAGUCUGCUGUGAAAUCCCCGGGCUCAACCUGGGAAUGGCAGUGGAUACUGGCAAGCUAGAGUGUGUCAGAGGAUGGUGGAAUUCCCGGUGUAGCGGUGAAAUGCGUAGAGAUCGGGAGGAACAUCAGUGGCGAAGGCGGCCAUCUGGGACAACACUGACGCUGAGGCACGAAAGCGUGGGGAGCAAACAGGAUUAGAUACCCCAGUAGUCCCUGUCUCUUAUAC